UCUAUGGAGUGACUCCUCAGGUUUUAGCCACAGUAUUUCCUUUAUAUUCUAUUUUUAUUCCUGUUUUACUGUUGUAUUUUUGUCUAAUCUGUCUUAUGACUUGUUAUGUCUUAAUUAAUGUUUAUAUGUCUUUUUUGUUCAGCACCUUGUGUUCAACAGCAAGUUGUUGAUAAGUGCUAUAUAAAUAAAGUGAUUGAUUGAUUGAUUGAUUGAUAUAUCUCUUGUUUCUAAUCUUAGCCAUGAGUUGUUUUUGUACACCUCUCUAUUACUUAAGGCUCUAUAAAUGCCUCAAGAAUUAAAGCAAUUCUCAGUAAAAACUAAUGUAACUCUGUAGAGACUGUUGAAAAUGUCAUAAAAGCCAGACAACAAUAGAGCCAUGAUCCCUUAAAAAAUUACAAAAACAAAAAAUCCUUAGGUGAUCUACAGUAGAGGCAACUGGUGUAUUUCAUAGACCAUUAAAAUACAAACCUCCUGAACAAACUGAACAUUUUAGCCUAAAGAAAAAAAAAACAACUUUAUAGCAUUAAAACUAUGAUCCAUUAUGACUAUUUUGAUUAAAAGACUUUCGCAGAAAAAUAAACAUUUUGACUUUAGCCUAAAAACAAAGCAAAUUUAAAAAAAAAAAUAAAGUGUGUGUAAAAUCUGUUGUAAUAUCUAAGUGUUACAAUUUCUUCAAGGUGUUGUCUUUUUCUUUCUUCAUUCUUUAACUUUAAGCAACUUAAUUUAUAAUCAGAUUUAUCAUUCUGUAAUGUUGAAAUGAAAGACUCAUUCUAAUAGCAGGUAUAAAACCAAGUGUUUGUAUAAGAUUUUCUUUUAAUUCCAAUCAAAUGACUUUAAUGGUGAAUUUGUGAAAUUAGGACAUUUUAAAGAUGUAUCAUUGUUUGUCUAAUAGGUCCUGACAUGACACUAGAAGAUUUUGUAAUGAUGGCAGUUUUCCAACUGCUCUGCUCUGGUAUAUAAGAGAGGUCUAACAGCCAGUUCAGCACUGCAGAAACCUCCAGGAUCUUCUCUGACCGUCUGUUGAAGCUGUGUGAACAGUAAAUCAACCAUGCUGAAGGUAGCAAUUGUGCUGGGAUUUCUUCUGAGCCUCAUUGUGGCUGAACCUAUGGAGCAUCAGCGGUUUGCCCGCUCCAGCUCUGGUUCCAACUCAAAUGAGUCCUCCAACACUUCCAUAAACAACGUGCUGCUCCAGCUUCUCCUUGCUCUCCUGCAACAAACAACUGCAGCUACGACUACGACUGCAGCAACUACAACUGCUACCACUGUAGCAGCUACAACCAAAUAAAUGGAGACAUCUAGUGAAUGAAGAUCAAGCUUUUCUCCAAAAAUCGCACCGUUUUAAUGGAUGUGUGGUCAAAUAAAUAACAUCAGUGCAAAAUAUUGUGUAUGACUUUGUUUAAAACCUCGUUCCUGGGAAAAUAAAUCUAUUAAAAUUUCAAAUGAAUCACUAGAAUAAUACUUACAUGCUUCAAAUAUGAAAACACAAACCUGAAAAUUACUUUAAAUCGUGAAAACAAAAAAUAUUUGUAAAAUAAGUGUUCCUUGAAAAAUUUUUUAAAACUUGCAUUUUUAUAAAUUAUUUUAAAAUUAAACGUUAGGCUUGGAUUAUUCAUACUUCCUUUGACCAAACUUUUUUUUAUUGUAUUCAAGUUAAAAAAACAGUUUCACAUGGAAUAUUAUUUUUUCAUAUUAAGAUAUUAAGAACCAUGACCAGCUUUUGAGUCAUGUCUAUACAUAACAGAACUAUUCUUAUAAGCAUGCACACUGUAAAGUGGGUGUUCCUGUAGGACUGGAGAUGAUCCAAAGCGAUAGGAGUCAUCUUGUGACCACAUAAAAAAAUAAAAAUGACAGCUACUCCUGAAACAUAACAAAAGCAUUAACAAAUCAAUUUUGAAAACUUAAAACUGUUCAUUUUUUUUCUUUACUGAAACAAAAAUGGACCAAGAGAAAUUGAAAAAAGACACAUUUUAUUCUUAGACAUUGUGGAAAACAAAGAAAUCAAGUUUCACUAAAUCAAAAUAUGGGAGAUUGAGAGCAAAAAAACAAAAUCUUUUUGCAAAAAAGAAAUUAAAGUCACGGAUUUAACUAAACCUGCUUAAAAAAAAAAAAAAAAAAAAAAAAUGAAAUAAAACAAAAAAGUCCCCCAACAAUUCAAGUCUGAGGGGCUCAGUGUGAAAGAGGACACAUUUUAAGGGUUCACUUUGACCAAAGCUAAAACUGUUUUCACAGUGAUGGCCACUUUAGGAACAAAAAAACAUACUCAGUGUGAUCCAAAAAGUUUGCUGAAAAUCUUCUUUAUGAUUGAACUCCGCCCCAUUUAACCCGUGAGUUUAAUUAAGUUUUCAGAGAAUAUAUUUUCAUCAUUCAGCUGUUUCUGUUUGUGUGGGUUGCAUUCAGCAUCUCCUUUUCAGGCAAUUCCUUCUUUUGUUUCUUCCUUUAGUUUUGCUUUGUUUGACCUUUUGGAUUUCUGGUCCACCAACCCAACUACCAACCACUUAAGGAGAACCUGUAAACCAGUUCCCCAAAUCCAGACCAGUCGUUUAGCGCUCCAACAUAAUGGACAAUACUCAGCUGAAAGGCUGUGAUUAGCAUUGGCACUCCCAAAUAGUAUUAAAACCCGUUGCAAUAAUUUUAGGGUAUUAAAAAAAAAAAAAA
Oryzias melastigma (Indian medaka) is the source of this 2655-nucleotide long non-coding RNA. RefSeq lists it as uncharacterized. NCBI's taxonomy places the organism in Eukaryota, Metazoa, Chordata, Actinopteri, Beloniformes, Adrianichthyidae. The record is from RefSeq and is a predicted model, not a curated record. The transcript has 4 exons.